RNAcentral lists this ribosomal RNA (537 nucleotides) under uncultured bacterium. RNAcentral's name for it is "partial 16S ribosomal RNA". It matches the Rfam family "Bacterial small subunit ribosomal RNA", at positions 28 to 523 of the family's 1533-position model. The record is from RNAcentral.
GAUGAACGCUGGCGGCGUGCCUAAUACAUGCAAGUCGAACGAGUUCUUGUUAAAUGAUUGACGUGCUUGCACUGAUUGAUUUUAACGCUGAACGAGUGGCGGACGGGUGAGUAACACGUGGGUAACCUGCCCUUAAGUGGGGGAUAACAUUUGGAAACAGAUGCUAAUACCGCAUAAUUCUUCAAUCCGCAUGGAUUGAAGCUGAAAGACGGCGCAAGCUGUCACUUAAGGAUGGACCCGCGGUGCAUUAGUUAGUUGGUAGGGUAAUGGCCUACCAAGACCGUGAUGCAUAGCCGACCUGAGAGGGUGAUCGGCCACACUGGGACUGAGACACGGCCCAGACUCCUACGGGAGGCAGCAGUAGGGAAUCUUCCACAAUGGACGAAAGUCUGAUGGAGCAACGCCGCGUGAGUGAUGAAGGUUUUCGGAUCGUAAAACUCUGUUGUUGGAGAAGAACACUUCUGAGAGUAACUGUUCAGGAGAUGACGGUAUCCAACCAGAAAGCCACGGCUAACUACGUGCCAGCCGCCGCCGUAA